GGCACUUUGGCGGAGUGGUUAUCGCGCAGGCCUGCUAAGCCUGUUCCUUCGUAAGUUCCUCUCGCAGCAAUAUCAUCGACGAGUACUAAUUAGCGCAGGGGAGCCAGGGUUCGAAUCCCUGAGGUGUCG
Molecule: non-coding RNA, 129 nt
Organism: Lentithecium fluviatile CBS 122367
Lineage: Eukaryota; Fungi; Ascomycota; Dothideomycetes; Pleosporales; Lentitheciaceae
Source: the annotation of a GenBank genome assembly